RNAcentral lists this ribosomal RNA (573 nucleotides) under Triticum aestivum (bread wheat). RNAcentral's name for it is "partial small subunit ribosomal RNA". Lineage: Eukaryota; Viridiplantae; Streptophyta; Magnoliopsida; Poales; Poaceae. The record is from RNAcentral.
AUGGUCGUGCUCAACACCCCCACGCCGCAUUUAUCUCCAAUGGGUUUGCCGCCACCCUCGGAAGAUUAUGAGCUUGGUCGGACCAAGGAUGGGAAGCUCUGUUUGGUUUGCAUAGAUGACGUCUAUGCAAACAAAGGAACACUUGCUGUUUGGUUUUGUAGAGUUGAUAGUGAUGGUUCGGACGAAUGGAUGCCGCACAAGGUUUUCCCACUGAGUGCUUUUAUUGAUGUCACCAUGUGUUCAGAAGAGUAUGAUGUUAUGGUGCAAGUUGUGAUGGUCUUGGAUGGAUUUGUGUUCCUGUCUGUUAGUUAUGCGAGGUAUACCGAGUGCCUAAUAUCCUUCUGCCUGGAAACAGAGAAUGUAAACAAGCUCUUCACUCAUACAUUGGACUGCAAUAUUCAUCCCUACUUCAUGGUGUGGCCUCCUUCUUUGGUACGCAACGAGGAGGAUUCAGAUACCAAACUUACUAGCGACAAUGUGACAGAUGAUGGCCCCGUGGGCAUAGAAGCAACCCCCUCUGUUUUCGGAUUGUGUGAAGAGAAGACACCAUCUACUAGUUUCAUACACUUGUAG